AGCGAACGCUGGCGGCAGGCUUAACACAUGCAAGUCGAGCGGGCGUAGCAAUACGUCAGCGGCAGACGGGUGAGUAACGCCUGGGAACGUACCUUUUGGUUCGGAACAACACAUUGAAACUUGUGCUAAUACCGGAUAAGCCCUUACGAGGAAAGAUUUAUCGCCGAAAGAUCGGCCCGCGUUUGAUUCGCUAGUUGGUGAGGUAACGGCUCACCAAGGCGACGAUCAGUAGCUGGACUGGGAGGAUGAUCAGCAACAUUGGGACUGGGACAAGGACCAAACACCUGCGGAAGGCAGCAGUGGGGAAUAUUGGACAAUGGGGGCAACCCUGAUCCAGCCAUGCCGCGAGAGUGAUGAAUGCCCUAGGAUAGUAAAGCUCUUUUGUGCGGGAAGAUAAGGACGUAACCGAAAGAAUAAGCCCCGGCUAACUUCUU
This 434-nucleotide ribosomal RNA is filed under the name uncultured bacterium. RNAcentral's name for it is "partial 16S ribosomal RNA". It matches the Rfam family "Bacterial small subunit ribosomal RNA", at positions 29 to 506 of the family's 1533-position model. The record is from RNAcentral.